GGCCUAACACAUGCAAGUCGAGCGGUAACAGAGAGUAGCUUGCUACUUUUGCUGACGAGCGGCGGACGGGUGAGUAAUGCUUGGGAACAUGCCUUGAGGUGGGGGACAACAGUUGGAAACGACUGCUAAUACCGCAUAAUGUCUACGGACCAAAGGGGGCUUCGGCUCUCGCCUUUAGAUUGGCCCAAGUGGGAUUAGCUAGUUGGUGAGGUAAUGGCUCACCAAGGCGACGAUCCCUAGCUGGUUUGAGAGGAUGAUCAGCCACACUGGGACUGAGACACGGCCCAGACUCCUACGGGAGGCAGCAGUGGGGAAUAUUGCACAAUGGGCGCAAGCCUGAUGCAGCCAUGCCGCGUGUGUGAAGAAGGCCUUCGGGUUGUAAAGCACUUUCAGUCAGGAGGAAAGGUUAGUAGUUAAUACCUGCUAGCUGUGACGUUACUGACAGAAGAAGCACCGGCUAACUCCGUGCCAGCAGCCGCGGUAAUACGGAGGGUGCGAGCGUUAAUCGGAAUUACUGGGCGUAAAGCGUACGCAGGCGGUUUGUUAAGCGAGAUGUGAAAGCCCC
Molecule: ribosomal RNA, 565 nt
Filed under: Pseudoalteromonas sp. AF1-01
Lineage: Bacteria; Pseudomonadati; Pseudomonadota; Gammaproteobacteria; Alteromonadales; Pseudoalteromonadaceae
Description: bacterial SSU rRNA
Rfam family: Bacterial small subunit ribosomal RNA
Source: RNAcentral